UCGGAUCGCGACAGGAGGAGCCCCAGACGCCGGCCCUGGUUUUCCCCGAGGCUGCAAAGUUGUGGGCUCGCCCGACUGGCUCGCAGCCUUCUCACGCUUCGCUUCGGGGACUGGGCAGGCACUGUGCUGAACCCAUGACACCACAGCUGCAUGAAUCCUCCAGUAAGAUUCCUGAAGCUUGCUGAGCCCCAUUCUAAGGCCAAGAAGGUGAUGCUAAGUCACACACCCAAGGUCACGCAGCAGACUCUAACACGGUCCUGGCCUCAGGCUCGCUGUCCCUGAAGAUGACUGUCCUGUUGGUCUUCCUGCCCUUACCUUCUGAAGACUGGGGUUCCAGGUAUGUGCUCGUGAGUCUAGUAUAUGUGACUGGAGAUCAGACACAGGGCCUCCUGCACACAAGACAAGCACUCCUCCAAUCAAGCCAAUCAAGUCACAUCUCAA
Long non-coding RNA from Chionomys nivalis (European snow vole), 441 nucleotides. RefSeq lists it as uncharacterized. The transcript has 3 exons. NCBI's taxonomy places the organism in Eukaryota, Metazoa, Chordata, Mammalia, Rodentia, Cricetidae. The record is from RefSeq and is a predicted model, not a curated record.